ACCCGCUGAAUUUAAGCAUAUAAGUAGGCGGUGGAUGAGAAACCUACAGGGAUUCCUUCAGUAAUGGCGAAUGCAUCAGGACAGGCUCAGUGUGGAAAUCAAAGCUUUCGGCUUUGAGUUGUAAGUUCGAGAUGUGCUACCAAUUGGGGCGUGGCAAUAAGCUUUUGGAACAAAGCAUUGACAAAGGUGAGAAUCCUGUGUGUUAUCUGCAGCCCCCAGUGCACGGUGUGCUUUCUAAGAGUCAUGUUCCUUGGGACUGGUGCAUGAAGCAGGUGGUAAUUUUCAUCUAAAGCUGAAUAUAUGUUUGAGACCAAUAGCAAACAAGUACCAUGAGGGAAAGGUGAAACAGGACUCUGUAAAGAGAGGUAAUAGUGUCUGAACAUGCUGAAAGGGAAGUGAAGGGGACCAGUGUAAUUUGGUGAGAUUGCUGCAUGCGAAUGUGCUUGCCUGCUGCACUUGGCAAUGGUGCUGCUGGUCAUGAGCGUGCUGCAUGCAAUGCUUCUUGCUUGAUAAACCAUUGGCAUUGCGUUGCGCGAGGAGAGAUGUAAAGGUAUGGUAGCCCAUCUUCGGGUGUGUGAAUGUCUUUACCCCAUUCGCGCAUGCAUUGUGUAGUGGCCACACGGUUCCAUUCGCCCCGUCUUGAAACACGGACCAAGGAGUCUAACAUGUGUGCGAGUUCAUGGGUAUCUACGCCUGUGUGCGCAGUGAAAGUGCUGGCUGGGAACAUUGCAUCAGCAACAGACCAUUCGAUUUGGAGAAGUCUGAGUAUGAGCAUGCUUGUUAGGACCCGAAAGAUGGUGAACUAUGUCUGUGAAAGGCAAACUCAGGGGAAACUCUGAUGGAAGCCUGUAGUGAUACUGACGUGCAAAUCGUUCGUUAUACAUGGGUAUAGGGGUGAAAGACUAAUCGAAUCAUCUAGUAGCUGGUUCCUUCCGAAGUUUUCCUCAGGAUAGCUGGAGCUGAACAAUUUCAUCAGGUAAAGCAAAUGAUUAGAUGCAUUGGGGGCUUGUUGCCCUUGACCUAUUCUCAAACUCUAAAUGUGUGAGACCCAGUGGUUGCUUCUGUGAACCUUUGGGACAAGUGUCACCUCUAAGUGGGCCAUUUUUGGUAAGCAGAACUGGUGAUGAGGGAUGAACCUAAUGUUGGGCUAACGUGCUUAGUUGCUCGCUCAUCAGAUGUGUUGGUUCAUUUUAACAGCAGGACGGUGGUCAUGGAAGUUGAAAUCCGCUGAGGAGUGUGUAAUAACUCACCUGCCGAAUGGACUGGCCCCGAAAAUGGAUGGCGCUCAAGUGGGUAACUGAUAUCCAACCAGUGCUGCACAUGCUGCAGCAAUGAGUAGGAGGGCAUGGGGGUUCGUCGUGAAGCUCGUGGUGCAAACCUAAGUGAAACAGCCCCUGGUGCAGAUCUUGGUGGUAGUAGC
This 1420-nucleotide ribosomal RNA is filed under the name Preperidinium sp. M064sm1. RNAcentral describes it as "LSU rRNA". It matches the Rfam family "Eukaryotic large subunit ribosomal RNA", at positions 23 to 1464 of the family's 3401-position model. The record is from RNAcentral. Lineage: Eukaryota; Dinophyceae; Peridiniales; Diplopsaliaceae.